GAUGAACGCUGACAGAAUGCUUAACACAUGCAAGUCAACUUGAACUUCGGUUUGGGUGGCGGACGGGUGAGUAACGCGUAAAGAACUUGCCUCACAGCUAGGGACAACAUUUGGAAACGAAUGCUAAUACCUGAUAUUAUGAUUUUAGGGCAUCCUAGAAUUAUGAAAGCUAUAUGCGCUGUGAGAGAGCUUUGCGUCCCAUUAGCUAGUUGGAGAGGUAACGGCUCACCAAGGCGAUGAUGGGUAGCCGGCCUGAGAGGGUGAACGGCCACAAGGGGACUGAGACACGGCCCUUACUCCUACGGGAGGCAGCAGUGGGGAAUAUUGGACAAUGGACCAAGAGUCUGAUCCAGCAAUUCUGUGUGCACGAUGAAGUUUUUCGGAAUGUAAAGUGCUUUCGGUUGGGAAGAAAAAAAUGACGGUACCAACAGAAGAAGUGACGGCUAAAUACGUG
RNAcentral lists this ribosomal RNA (454 nucleotides) under uncultured bacterium. Its description in RNAcentral is "partial 16S ribosomal RNA". It matches the Rfam family "Bacterial small subunit ribosomal RNA", at positions 28 to 507 of the family's 1533-position model. The record is from RNAcentral.